This 387-nucleotide transfer-messenger RNA is filed under the name Dysgonamonadaceae bacterium. RNAcentral describes it as "partial transfer-messenger RNA". It matches the Rfam family "transfer-messenger RNA". Rfam says of the family: Bacterial tmRNA, also known as 10Sa RNA or SsrA, is named for its dual tRNA and mRNA-like properties. Its role is to liberate the mRNA from a stalled ribosome. Lineage: Bacteria; Pseudomonadati; Bacteroidota; Bacteroidia; Bacteroidales; Dysgonomonadaceae. The record is from RNAcentral.
UUUUGACAGCGGGUAGAAGUGGUUCGUAAGCAUGCAGCGCGUCGUUGGCCUGCGCUAUAAUCUUGGCUGACAAACAAUUAACUGGCGAAAAUACUUAUGCUCUCGCUGCUUAAUCGAAGAACAGUAGAUUUUAAGCUUCAUUCGGGUUCAAGGAACCUGAACGAGACGUCUCCCGGAGCUCUGGCUUCGAAGCUGACCGAUAAGGGGGCGCAGGAAUAUCGAAGAUAGCCUUCGGCAGGUUUCGGGCCGCAGGCGAAAUUAAGAAAAUAAGUUCCGUAUUGGUUGCCCUGUUCUUGUGCGGAAUCGAAAACCUCAAUGGGGAUAAGCAUGUAGAAAGCGCAUUAGUUCCUCGUUUGGACGAGGGUUCGAAUCCCUCCAGCUCCACAA